Sander lucioperca (pikeperch) is the source of this 1039-nucleotide long non-coding RNA. RefSeq lists it as uncharacterized. NCBI's taxonomy places the organism in Eukaryota, Metazoa, Chordata, Actinopteri, Perciformes, Percidae. The record is from RefSeq and is a predicted model, not a curated record. The transcript is spliced from 3 exons.
CUCUCGUUUUCCCUCGUUCUCGCUUUAUCUUUCUGUCUCUCUUUGUCUCUUGUGCUCUCUCUUUCUCUCUCCUGUCCUUCACGUAAAAACAGCUGAUUGUGGCGUACCUCACAAUCGGGGAGAGGGGCUUUAAUAAUAAAAUCUAAAUGUUCAUCUAGGAAAGAGGCUGUGCAGCAACGUUUUGGGAACCACUGCUGUGAGAUCGGUGUCACUACGCUGUAGUCGAUGUUUUUCAGAACAAUGAAAUACUGUAAGAAGUAUUUGCCUUGAUAUAGUAACUAUUAUAAAACCCAGCGUUGACAGUGUUUUAUCUGUCUUUGGGUCUGAAGAUAUCAAGUUAAAUAAUUACUGUAGUUAUUAUUUACAGGUUUCUCUGAUGUACCUGAAUCAGAUCUUUCUAGACGUGUCUUUUUAUACGACGACUACGUUAGCUCCUGCGACAGCAGCUAACGGUCUGUGUGCUUUGAUCGAGAAUUAUACCACUAAUGCCAAUCUGGACUGAACGGUGUUAACACAGCUGGUGUCGAUUCCUUUUCAGUUCAGGAAGUUGUGUAACGUUUUUAAGUAUUUCCGUACAUUUGAGCUUAAAAUAAUGAAUGGACAAUGGUUUAUAUCGGCGGAAGUAGCUCAGCAUCAUGGACAAAAUGUUUUUGAUUUGUCUUAACUUUUUAUCUUUUGUCUGCGUGGUGUUUCUGGAUUCAUUCGGCUGUUAAUUUGCCCUUUUUUUUGAUGCCGAGUGAGACAAAACAAAGCCAGCUGAUGACUCCAUUAAAGCACUGAACCAGGGGUGUCAGACUCAUUCAGUUCCUGGGCCACAGUCCCCUAAUUAGGGUUGGGUAUCGAUUUGGAUUUUUUACGAUUCCUAAACCGGUUCUUGAAAAAUGACGUGCUUCCCCCUUUGCACGUAAUCGUUUUGAAACAUUUGUUGUAUUUUGCGAUGUCGGAAUCCUUUCGACCGCUUUGCUGUAGGCAUUUUAAAUGCACUAAAAGCUAGCUAGCUAACGACAGACUAGCAUAGCAAGUAGCGUUGGGCGGGAUA